AACACAUGCAAGUCGAACGGUAAGGCCCUUUCGGGGGUACACGAGUGGCGAACGGGUGAGUAACACGUGAGUAACCUGCCCUCAUCUCUGGGAUAACAGUCGGAAACGGUUGCUAAUACUGGAUAUGAGCUUGCAAGGCAUCUUGUGGGUUGGAAAGAUUUUUUUGGUUGGGGAUGGACUCGCGGCCUAUCAGCUUGUUGGUGAGGUAGUGGCUCACCAAGGCUUCGACGGGUAGCCGGCCUGAGAGGGCGACCGGCCACAUUGGGACUGAGAUACGGCCCAAACUCCUACGGGAGGCAGCAGUGGGGAAUAUUGCACAAUGGACGGAAGUCUGAUGCAGCAACGCCGCGUGCGGGAUGACGGCCUUCGGGUUGUAAACCGCUUUCAAUUGUGACGAAGCUUUUUGUGACGGUAGCAGUAGAAGAAGCACCGGCUAACUACGUGCCAGCAGCCGCGGUGAUACGUAGGGUGCGAGCGUUGUCCGGAUUUAUUGGGCGUAAAGAGCUUGUAGGCGGUUUGUCGCGUCGGGAGUGAAAACUUGGGGCUUAACCCUGAGCUUGCUUUCGAUACGGGCUGACUUGAGGGAGGUAGGGGAGAAUGGAAUUCCUGGUGGAGCGGUGGAAUGCGCAGAUAUCAGGAGGAACACCGGUGGCGAAGGCGGUUCUCUGGACCUUUCCUGACGCUGAGAAGCGAAAGCGUGGGGAGCGAACAGGCUUAGAUACCCUGGUAGUCCACGCCGUAAACGGUGGGUACUAGGUGUGGGGGACAUUCCACGUUCUCCGUGCCGUAGCUAACGCAUUAAGUACCCCGCCUG
This 814-nucleotide ribosomal RNA is filed under the name uncultured Propionibacterium sp. RNAcentral's name for it is "bacterial SSU rRNA". It matches the Rfam family "Bacterial small subunit ribosomal RNA", at positions 50 to 875 of the family's 1533-position model. Lineage: Bacteria; Bacillati; Actinomycetota; Actinomycetes; Propionibacteriales; Propionibacteriaceae. The record is from RNAcentral.